RNAcentral lists this ribosomal RNA (2146 nucleotides) under Salmonella enterica subsp. enterica serovar Enteritidis. RNAcentral describes it as "partial 23S ribosomal RNA". It matches the Rfam family "Bacterial large subunit ribosomal RNA", at positions 675 to 2803 of the family's 2925-position model. Lineage: Bacteria; Pseudomonadati; Pseudomonadota; Gammaproteobacteria; Enterobacterales; Enterobacteriaceae. The record is from RNAcentral.
AACCGAGUCUUAAUUGGGCGUUAAGUUGCAGGGUAUAGACCCGAAACCCGGUGAUCUAGCCAUGGGCAGGUUGAAGGUUGGGUAACACUAACUGGAGGACCGAACCGACUAAUGUUGAAAAAUUAGCGGAUGACCUGUGGCUGGGGGUGAAAGGCCAAUCAAACCGGGAGAUAGCUGGUUCUCCCCGAAAGCUAUUUAGGUAGCGCCUCGUGAAUUCAUCUCCGGGGGUAGAGCACUGUUUCGGCUAGGGGGCCAUCCCGGCUUACCAACCCGAUGCAAACUGCGAAUACCGGAGAAUGUUAUCACGGGAGACACACGGCGGGUGCUAACGUCCGUCGUGAAGAGGGAAACAACCCAGACCGCCAGCUAAGGUCCCAAAGUCAUGGUUAAGUGGGAAACGAUGUGGGAAGGCCCAGACAGCCAGGAUGUUGGCUUAGAAGCAGCCAUCAUUUAAAGAAAGCGUAAUAGCUCACUGGUCGAGUCGGCCUGCGCGGAAGAUGUAACGGGGCUAAACCAUGCACCGAAGCUGCGGCAGCGACGCUUAUGCGUUGUUGGGUAGGGGAGCGUUCUGUAAGCCUGCGAAGGUGGCCUGUGAGGGUUGCUGGAGGUAUCAGAAGUGCGAAUGCUGACAUAAGUAACGAUAAAGCGGGUGAAAAGCCCGCUCGCCGGAAGACCAAGGGUUCCUGUCCAACGUUAAUCGGGGCAGGGUGAGUCGACCCCUAAGGCGAGGCCGAAAGGCGUAGUCGAUGGGAAACGGGUUAAUAUUCCCGUACUUGGUGUUACUGCGAAGGGGGGACGGAGAAGGCUAUGUUGGCCGGGCGACGGUUGUCCCGGUUUAAGCGUGUAGGCUGGUUUUCCAGGCAAAUCCGGAAAAUCAAGGCUGAGGCGUGAUGACGAGGCACUACGGUGCUGAAGCAACAAAUGCCCUGCUUCCAGGAAAAGCCUCUAAGCAUCAGGUAACAUCAAAUCGUACCCCAAACCGACACAGGUGGUCAGGUAGAGAAUACCAAGGCGCUUGAGAGAACUCGGGUGAAGGAACUAGGCAAAAUGGUGCCGUAACUUCGGGAGAAGGCACGCUGACACGUAGGUGAAGUGAUUUACUCACGGAGCUGAAGUCAGUCGAAGAUACCAGCUGGCUGCAACUGUUUAUUAAAAACACAGCACUGUGCAAACACGAAAGUGGACGUAUACGGUGUGACGCCUGCCCGGUGCCGGAAGGUUAAUUGAUGGGGUCAGCGCAAGCGAAGCUCCUGAUCGAAGCCCCGGUAAACGGCGGCCGUAACUAUAACGGUCCUAAGGUAGCGAAAUUCCUUGUCGGGUAAGUUCCGACCUGCACGAAUGGCGUAAUGAUGGCCAGGCUGUCUCCACCCGAGACUCAGUGAAAUUGAACUCGCUGUGAAGAUGCAGUGUACCCGCGGCAAGACGGAAAGACCCCGUGAACCUUUACUAUAGCUUGACACUGAACAUUGAGCCUUGAUGUGUAGGAUAGGUGGGAGGCUUUGAAGUGUGGACGCCAGUCUGCAUGGAGCCGACCUUGAAAUACCACCCUUUAAUGUUUGAUGUUCUAACGUGGACCCGUUACCCGGGUUGCGGACAGUGUCUGGUGGGUAGUUUGACUGGGGCGGUCUCCUCCUAAAGAGUAACGGAGGAGCACGAAGGUUGGCUAAUCCUGGUCGGACAUCAGGAGGUUAGUGCAAUGGCAUAAGCCAGCUUGACUGCGAGCGUGACGGCGCGAGCAGGUGCGAAAGCAGGUCAUAGUGAUCCGGUGGUUCUGAAUGGAAGGGCCAUCGCUCAACGGAUAAAAGGUACUCCGGGGAUAACAGGCUGAUACCGCCCAAGAGUUCAUAUCGACGGCGGUGUUUGGCACCUCGAUGUCGGCUCAUCACAUCCUGGGGCUGAAGUAGGUCCCAAGGGUAUGGCUGUUCGCCAUUUAAAGUGGUACGCGAGCUGGGUUUAGAACGUCGUGAGACAGUUCGGUCCCUAUCUGCCGUGGGCGCUGGAGAACUGAGGGGGGCUGCUCCUAGUACGAGAGGACCGGAGUGGACGCAUCACUGGUGUUCGGGUUGUCAUGCCAAUGGCACUGCCCGGUAGCUAAAUGCGGAAGAGAUAAGUGCUGAAAGCAUCUAAGCACGAAACUUGCCCCGAG